UUUGGAGGGCAAAGUCUGGUGCCAGCAGCCGCGGUAAUUCCAGCUCCAAUAGCGUAUAUUAAAGUUGUUGCAGUUAAAAAGCUUGUAGUUGAAUUUCGGGGUUAGUAGGUUGGUCAUGCCUCUGGUAUGUACUGGUCUCACUGAUUCCUCCUUCCUGACGAACCUUAAUGUCUCGAUUAAUUUG
Molecule: ribosomal RNA, 184 nt
Filed under: uncultured fungus
Lineage: Eukaryota; Fungi
Description: partial 18S ribosomal RNA
Rfam family: Eukaryotic small subunit ribosomal RNA
Source: RNAcentral